CCGAGAGGACUGUGUUGUCUUACCAGGUAGCUGAGAGCACUGGCCAGUUCCAUGGUGUACCGAGAGGACUGUGUUGUCUUACCAGGUAGCUGAGAGCACUGGCCAGUUCCAUGGUGUACCGAGAGGACUGUGUUGUCUUACCAGGUAGCUGAGAGCACUGGCCAGUUCCAUGGUGUACCGAGAGGACUGUGUUGUCUUACCAGGUAGCUGAGAGCACUGGCCAGUUCCAUGGUGUACCGAGAGGACUGUGUUGUCUUACCAGGUAGCUGAGAGCACUGGCCAGUUCCAUGGUGUACCGAGAGGACUGUGUUGUCUUACCAGGUAGCUGAGAGCACUGGCCAGUUCCAUGGUGUACCGAGAGGACUGUGUUGUCUUACC
This is a long non-coding RNA of Oncorhynchus keta (chum salmon), 378 nucleotides long. RefSeq lists it as uncharacterized. The transcript is spliced from 3 exons. Lineage: Eukaryota; Metazoa; Chordata; Actinopteri; Salmoniformes; Salmonidae. The record is from RefSeq and is a predicted model, not a curated record.